Molecule: long non-coding RNA, 310 nt
Filed under: Carica papaya (papaya)
Lineage: Eukaryota; Viridiplantae; Streptophyta; Magnoliopsida; Brassicales; Caricaceae
Description: long non-coding RNA (CPAP_LNC008633)
Source: RNAcentral
AUCUCAAUAAAAUUGCCUCUUACUCGUUACAUUUUAAAUAACGACAAUUCUUUAUUCACUUCAAAUAGUUUAUGAUUAACUUUUAACAUUAUCUCAACAAAAUUGUUUCUUACUCGUCACAUUUUAAAUAACGACAAUUCUUUAUUUACUUUAAAUAGUUUAUGAUUUUUUACUUGAUUUCAAUGAUUUCAUAAGUUAUAAUAUAAAAUAAGACUUAUUAUAAUAUCCAUUUGUAUUUCUGAUCAUCUAAAGCUGAUUUGUUUGCUCAUGUGGAUUGUUUUUGAAUUCUUCAAGAAGGUAAGACCUAUAG